Molecule: ribosomal RNA, 450 nt
Filed under: uncultured bacterium
Lineage: Bacteria
Description: partial 16S ribosomal RNA
Rfam family: Bacterial small subunit ribosomal RNA
Source: RNAcentral
GUGAGUAAUAUUGGGCAAUGGGCGAAAGCCUGACCCAGCCACGCCGCGUGAGUGAUGAAGGCCUUCGGGUUGUAAAGCUCUGUGGGGAGGGAAGAAAAAGCGGGAGAGUAACUGCUCUCGUGUUGACGGUACCUCCUUAGCAAGCACCGGCUAACUCUGUGCCAGCAGCCGCGGUAAUACAGAGGGUGCAAACGUUGCUCGGAAUUACUGGGCGUAAAGCGCGUGUAGGCUGACAUGCAAGUCGGGUGUGAAAUCCCAGGGCUCAACCUUGGAACUGCACUCGAAACUGCACGUCUUGAGUACUGGAGAGGGAAGCGGAAUUCCGGGUGUAGAGGUGAAAUUCGUAGAUAUCCGGAGGAACACCAGUGGCGAAGGCGGCUUCCUGGACAGUAACUGACGCUGAGACGCGAAAGCGUGGGGAGCAAACAGGAUUAGAAACCCCUGUAGUCC